CAAUUAAAAAUAGUGUAACACAUUAAAAUUGCAAAUAUUACAGAAUAUAAUUACUUAUAUCGUUAUAGUUAACUAAACAAAUAUAUAUUACAACUUGAAUGGGUAGUGGGGUGCAAUGCAAUAUGUUUAGCUUAUUUUUUAUUUUAUGUUACAAUAUCGUUACAGUAUCUAAUCUCAUUACCACCAUUAUUUUUACAUUAACAACAAGUAAAUUCACCGUCAUCCAAACUCACCCUUAAAAAAGUUAAAUAAAUAUAUUAAUUUUUUUCAAGCAUCAUUUCAAUCGCUUUAAAAUGGGUUUUUUUAGACAAUAUCUCUCUUUUUAAUAUAAUUCUUCAAAAUUUUCAACUACAAACAAUUUUUUUUGCACUUAAUUAAGUCUUUAAUGUUGAAAUAUUAACAUUUUUAAUUUUCAAAUUUUGAAAUUAAAAAUAUUAUUAAAUUUUUUUAAAUACGUUAUAAUAACAAAAAAAAUCUAAAUAAGCAUAUUACAUUUCAAAUUAAAUAAUGUUUUAAACUAAUAUGAAAUACUUUUGAAAAUACAUAAAAUAAUUAUAAAACAACAUCUAUAAAUUAAAAAAAUUAAAUAGUUUUGAACAAAAUAUUUUUAAACACAUGUUAAAAUAUUUAAAAUAUUUAUUUACAUAACGAGCUUUUAAACCGGCAAGAGGAAUAGACAAGGGACCCUAUUAAUACCUUCUUGUUUUUAAUUUAUAAUGAGGGCCUUUCGACGCUUAUGAGGAUGGCCUUGAGGGAGGGGUCGAUUAAGGGAGCAAAGGAAAAGAAAAGGGGCUCCGUCGGUUUCUCAUUUACUGUUUGCUGAUGAUAGUAUAUUGUUUGGAGAAGCUAGCGAUAGGGGUGCACAAGUUUUGAAAUCAAUCUUAAGGGAAUAUGAAAGAUGCUCGGGGCAAUGCCUCAAUUACGACAGUAGCAACACUUCGGAAGAGUCUAGGUGAGUUGUUUCCAAUAUUCUUGGGGGUAGAAAUUCAAAUAAUAUGGAAAGAUAUCUUCGUUUGCCGAAUGUUGUGGGGAAAAAUAAAAAAAGUUUCUUUUCAGCUCUUAAAGGAUCGCAUGAGGUAAUGGAUUGAGAGUUGGAAUGGGAGAUUCCUUUCUCAAAGAGGUUAGGAAGUGUUUAUUAAAGUUGUUUUACAAGCAAUACCCACUUACACUAUGGCCUGUUCUUUACUUCCAAAGUCUUUGUGUGUGGAAUCAGAUAGCAUAAUGAAUCAAUUUUGGUGGGAAAAAGGACAAGGGCGAAAAUGGUUGGGAACAACUUUGCAAUCUUAAGGAGAAUGGGGGUAUGAGAUUCCGUAGUUUAUCCAAAUUUAAUGUUGCGUUAUUAGCUAAACAAGGUUGGUGUAUUCUUAAUUAUCCAGAUUCAUUAUUAAUGAAAGUUCUAAAGGCUAAGUACAUUCCAACUGAGUUAGGACAACUACCUUCAUAUAUCUGGAAGAGUGUAUGGGCAGCUAAAGGAUUGCUAAAGACUGGGAUUUGUUGGAGGGUGGGAACGGGCUAGAAUAUUUAAAUUGCUGCUGAUGCGUGGCUCCUUUGAUCUGUAAGUUAAAAGGCAAAAUCAAUUAGGAAUGACAGUAAACUCAAUAAAGUGGUGGAUCUUAUUGAUAAACAAAAGAGAGAAUGGAAGUUUGACUUAAUUUAUUCUACCUUCUCUAGAGAAGAGGCAAAUAGAAUUGUGCGAAUUCCCGUAGCAAUGGAACCUCAUACGGACUUCAUGGUAUGGAAGGGAGAGGCCUCUGGGGAAUUCUCUGUGCGAAGUGCUUACAAAUUUUUACAUGGCUUUCUUCCUAAUUAUUUAAAGACUGAGGCUAAUUUAUUUUACAAAAAUUUGUGGGAUAUUCAUAUUCCAGGGAAAAUUAAAAUCCUAAUCUGGAAAAUUUCUUGGAAUUUUAUUCAUCAUUUUGUUAAUCUUCGGUGUAAGAGAUUGCUAUCGGUGGUAGUAUGUCCCAAAUGUGGAGUAACUGCUGAAAACAUUAAUUAUAUCUUCAGAGAAUGCCCAAUGACGCAAGAAGUUUGGAUUAAUUUGAAUCUGGAAUGGGUAUUAACGGAUUUGAUUUUGUUACACUGGGAGAGACUUACCUGAGUGUUCAAGAAUAGUUCCAGCAUUCAAUGUCGAGUAUUUUGUUGCCCUUUGUGGGCGAUCUGGAAGGACAAAAACAAAGGAUUACACGAGGCAAAGAAAAGUACGGGCCCAGAAGUUGCUACAUGGAUAAACAGAUAUAUUAAGGAACUGGAGGGGUGUGAGGUUCGGGAUUUUACCACGAGGCACAAGUCUAUGUGUUGGUGCCCACCAGUUGGUUCCAUUGCCUCCAAGCAGUGGUUAUGGGAAAACAGAUAGGGUUCACAUUAGUUAUCAUCGAAUGAGACUCAGUAUCAAUAAAAAAAAAGUAAAUUAGAUAAGACUGAUAAAUCGGUGAUUGGGGGUAUAAUACAGAACAUUCAGCAGCAAAAGUAAUCUUUUCACCAAAUAACCUUUCAACAUACAUACAGAUCUACAAAUCUUAUGGCUCAUAACUUAGCUAAAGAGGCAAUGAAAGAAGAUUUGCGAGCAUACCUGAUCAGAAGGGUCCCUGAGCAAGAAACAUCGGAGGUGAAUUUGUGGAGAAGAAGAGAACCUGACUGAGGGUUGUUCGAUAGGUGGUAUUUGCGUAGAAAGAAAAAAGGGAAAGUGGGAUAGUUGAUGGGUUUGGAAAUCGCUUUUUUAGGGACUAGAAUCGGUGCAUUAAUUACGGAUAUGCUAAUUGGAUUCUAGCUGUGAUCAGACUGGAAGUUUAUAUUAAUUUUCUGUUUAGUUUUUUUAAUUUGUUUGUUUUGGUGCAUGUUUUAAGUUUAUUUAAUAUUAUUAAUUUAGACACGAAUCAGUCUGUAAACUGUAGGGGUAAAAAAAGACUAGUUAUUUAUAUAUAAAUCCAGGAGACCCAAAUCCAUAAAACCCGUUUUCAGAACCGGAUCCUGGGACAGCUCUCACUAUGACCCG
Molecule: long non-coding RNA, 2992 nt
Filed under: Gossypium barbadense (sea-island cotton)
Lineage: Eukaryota; Viridiplantae; Streptophyta; Magnoliopsida; Malvales; Malvaceae
Description: long non-coding RNA (GBAR_LNC012921)
Source: RNAcentral